Vicia villosa (hairy vetch) is the source of this 2296-nucleotide long non-coding RNA. RefSeq lists it as uncharacterized. Lineage: Eukaryota; Viridiplantae; Streptophyta; Magnoliopsida; Fabales; Fabaceae. The record is from RefSeq and is a predicted model, not a curated record. The transcript has 3 exons.
GCUUUUGUCCAGAAACUCUUCAUGAUUCAAAGUAUCACUCCCUCUUCUCUCUUCUCUCUCUUCAAACUCUAAUAGCGACUGAACAAAAAAACUAGAACACACCUCCCCGCCGUCGCAAACCGUUGAAGCACAGAAGAUGAAUCAGUUUUAUCCACCAAACCCGAAAAGCUUCGUUCUCUUCAAUCUCAGUUCUUCGCAAAUCACCUCGCAUUUUCUAUCUGGACGAUGUUCCAAUCAGGGUGUUCAAUAGAUUAGGCUGGAGCCUUAGGCUGUUACGGUAAGCUAUUGCGUGUUCUUGAUAUGCCUUUUAUGACUAACUGUGUUAUAGUUUACAAUCCAUUUAAAUUAGUUGUUUUCUUCUCCAUCAAUCUUUUCACUCUAUAUGUUUCCUUCUAUUCUUCAAAUUAAUGUGAAAGGUCUCUUGCAAAACUCUUGACAAUAUUUUAAGCUCUAAAUAUUUUAUUUCUGUUAUUCUGAACUUUCCAAGUGAUAUAUUUAAUAUUAUUUUUAUUUUUAAAUGAUAUUUGAUAUUUCAUUUUUGUUUUUUGAUUAAUUUUUGUACUCCUUCUGUUUAUGCAUUUUUCGAAGAACCUUAGGCAAUGAAUUCAUGACUUAUAUAUUAUGAGAACCCCCAUCUCAUAAUGCCAUGGGCACUGCUAAGUGGCAGGUAAUUCAUCAUUAUGACCCUUUUUUGUAAAUUUCUUAAUUGGCACUGCUAAGCUGCUUGAACUUUGAUGAUACAAUCUUUCUUUUCUGUAUGGCUUCUUACAUCCAUCUGUUAAAUUUGUUAAUUUCCAACAGUUCUCUUACUUCAUUGUAAGUAACAAAAAAACUACCACUUAUAUUUGUUUUAAAAUGAUCUUUUUCCUUGAUUAUUCAAAUCUUCUUUCCUUGCUUUAAAUACGAUGCUUCUACGAUAUCUUGUGUGGUUGAACUGUUUCUAUAUGUUUUUCAUUUUUUUUAGACAUUUGAAGUGUUUAACUUCUCACUUUAUUGUUUCAAUUUCAGAUAAAAAUAUUAGAUUUCUUUAUUAACUAAAUAUUUCAGUAAAUAUACUGAUUCAAAUAGACUAAUUUGACAGUUUAUUUUUAAAUAGACUAGGCCAUUUUGAAUCGACCCAACUAGCUCAUCAGCAAAUGAAUAAAAUAACGGGAGAGUAUGAACUAAGGCUUAUUUAAGGUCCUCUAUCUGUUUGUGGUGAUUGUGUCACAUUCUCAAUGAUCAGCGACUUCAAACAUUUGGAUGAGGUCUCAGAUUCUUUAGAGAAGUUAAAAUUCGCUUGGCCAAAUAUCUAUCUCUUCAAGAUAAUCAUUUCGGCAACAGAUUGUAAGUUGCCCACUGUCUAUAAAGUUCACACCAGGAAGUUGAAAAUGAGCCUGUACCUCGUGUGGAAGUCCUUUAGCUCAAAUACGUUUCUGUCAUGUAAAGAGGAUUAUAGCAUGUAUUUUUGUUAGUUCUUGACCUGAGAAUCAAAUAUUUUCUGUUAUAGACAGAUAGAAGUUGUAUUAUCCUAUUAUAUUUAAAGAAAGCCAAGAAUAAGUGCAUUACCAUGAACAAACUGCUUUAUUUAAUUUUUAUGACUGCUUUCUGGUUUUAAAUGGUUUGGUACAAUUUUUAUUGUCACUUGGUUAUUUUUCUAUCUUGGUGGUCAAGUGACAAAGUGAAGAAGACAUGUUCAUGGCUUCCUUGAUCUGCAGCAUGGACGUUGAUUGUAGAAAAUUUCUGGUCCGCAAACCAGUUUUAGAUUGCGGAAAACUUCUGUUUACUUCUGUUUUACCAUUUUAUUUCUGAAAUGUAAAAGUUUGUGUUUUAAGUGUGUAUUCAGGAUAAUUUUAAAGCCUUUAAGUUCUAUAAUUGAUGGUUGCUCACCUUUGUGCUACAUAUCUUUAAUUUGAUGCCAUAUAGAAGUUGUGUUACGACCUAAUGAUAUGCUCAAGGCUCUUUUGUUUAUAACCUGCAUAAUUUUAAAUGUUGACUCAGUAUCUAUAUAAUAUAUUGUUUUUGGAUUAAUUAUAAAUAUAUUUUAAAUUGCUGUACCCUGGAAAAGGCUAUAUCAUUUGUAAAUCUACAAGAAAAGUGGAAUGCUAAAGUUAUUUAUGGAGAUACUGAUAGGUAACACUAACAUGUUGAAUAUCUUUAGCUAGGUUAAAUUGCACGCCAAUAAGAUAUGCCUAACCAUACUUACCUCACUUAUAUGGUUAAUAUUUUUUCCACAACAGAAAUAUGCAUACUAGGACUUAAGAAACAUGAUAGAAGUUAUGAUAAAGACUAUAUGACAUGAACUCUUUCAUAGCCU